UGGGGAAUAUUGGACAAUGGGCGAAAGCCUGAUCCAGCAAUGCCGCGUGAGUGAUGAAGGCCUUAGGGUUGUAAAGCUCUUUUACCCGGGAUGAUAAUGACAGUACCGGGAGAAUAAGCUCCGGCUAACUCCGUGCCAGCAGCCGCGGUAAUACGGAGGGAGCUAGCGUUGUUCGGAAUCACUGGGCGUAAAGCGUACGUAGGCGGCUAUUCAAGUCAGAGGUGAAAGCCCGGGGCUCAACCCCGGAACUGCCUUUGAAACUAGAUGGCUAGAAUCUUGGAGAGGCGAGUGGAAUUCCGAGUGUAGAGGUGAAAUUCGUAGAUAUUCGGAAGAACACCAGUGGCGAAGGCGACUCGCUGGACAAGUAUUGACGCUGAGGUACGAAAGCGUGGGGAGCAAACAGGAUUAGAUACCCAUGUAGUCCCUGAGCGGGCUGGCAAGGCGCAU
Molecule: ribosomal RNA, 447 nt
Filed under: uncultured bacterium
Lineage: Bacteria
Description: bacterial SSU rRNA
Rfam family: Bacterial small subunit ribosomal RNA
Source: RNAcentral